GAAGGGUGCAAGCGUUACUCGGAAUUACUGGGCGUAAAGCGUGCGUAGGUGGUGCGUUAAGUCUGUCGUGAAAGCCCCGGGCUCAACCUGGGAAUGGCGAUGGAUACUGGCGCGCUAGAGUGCGGUAGAGGAGAGUGGAAUUCCCGGUGUAGCAGUGAAAUGCGUAGAGAUCGGGAGGAACAUCAGUUGCGAAAGCGGCUCUCUGGACCAACACUGACACUGAGGCACGAAAGCGUGGGGAGCAAACAGGAUUAGAUACCCUGGUAGUCCACGCCCUAAACGAUGCGAACUGGACGUUGGGAGCAACUAGGCUCUCAGUGUCGAAGCUAACGCGUUAAGUUCGCCGCCUGGGGAGUACGGUCGCAAGACUG
RNAcentral lists this ribosomal RNA (371 nucleotides) under uncultured bacterium. Its description in RNAcentral is "bacterial SSU rRNA". It matches the Rfam family "Bacterial small subunit ribosomal RNA", at positions 527 to 896 of the family's 1533-position model. The record is from RNAcentral.